Molecule: long non-coding RNA, 2060 nt
Organism: Aethalodelphis obliquidens (Pacific white-sided dolphin)
Lineage: Eukaryota; Metazoa; Chordata; Mammalia; Artiodactyla; Delphinidae
Exons: 2
Source: RefSeq, a predicted model, not a curated record
AAUUUUGUCUAGUGCUUUUUCUGCCUCCAGUCUGAUGAUCAUGUGGUUUUUCUUCUCUGGUCUAUUGAUUGGUUGAGUUAGAUUAAUUGAUUUUCAAAUGUUGAGCCAAUCUUGCAUUCCUGGGACAAACCCAACUUGGUCAUGAUGAUAUUAUCCUUUUUAUAUCUUGCUGGGUUUAAUUUCCUAAUAUUUUGUUGAGAAUUUUUGUGUCCAUGUUCAUGAGGAAUACUGAUCUGUAGUAUUAUUUCCUUAUAACAUCUUGUCAGCUUGUAGUAAUCAGGGUGAUGUCAGCUUCAUCAAAUGAAUUGGGAAGUGUUCUCUUCAAGUUUUUGGAAGUUCGUAGCAUUGGCAUUAUCUCUUCCUUAGCCAUACAGUUGAAUAUGCCAGUGAAGCCUUCUGGGCCUGGAGUUGUCUGUGGGAUGAUUAAAUUAACUACAUAUUAACUAUAAAACCAAUUUCUUUAGUUAAUAAUGUGCUAUUCAGGUUAUCUAUUUCUUCUUAAGUAAGCUGUGGAAGUUUGUGUUAUACUGAAGGAGUUUGCUUGCUUCAUAGAAAUUGUUAAUGUUAUUGGCACAAGGUUGUUUAUAACGUUACCUUAUUCUUUUAAUAUAUAUAGGAUCUAUAGUGAUGGUCCCUCUUUCUUCUAAUAUUAGUAAUUUGUGCUUUCUCUCUCCUUCAUCAGUCUUGCUAGAGAUGUAUCAAUUUCAUUAAAAUGAUCAAAGAGCCAGUUUUAGUUUUGUUUUCUUUGAUGUUUUUCAAAAUACCUGAUAUCUAUUCUUGUUAUUACCUCCCUUCUGCAUGCUUUGGGUUUAAUUUGCUCUUUUCCUAGAGUUGUAUGGAUGCUCUAUUGAUUUGAGACAUUUCUUUUUUCCUAAUAUAAACAUUUAAUACUACAAUUUUUCCUCUUAGCACUGCUUUAUCUGUAUCCCACUUAUUUUGAUAUAUCAUGUUUUUUAAGUUUUGUUCAGUUCAAAAUAUUUUCUAAUUUCCCCAUGACUUCCUCUUUGGCCUAUAAAUUAUUUUGAAGUAUGUUGUUUAAUUUUCAGAUAUUUGGGUAUUUUCUCAGAUACGUCUCUGUUGUUUUUUGUGUGUGUUUAAUUCCACUGUGGUCAGAGAACAUACUGUCUAUAAUUGCAUUUCUUUUCAGUAUGUUGAGGUUUAUUUUGGUCUAUCUUGGUGAAUGUGAUGUGUAUUUCUGAUUUUGUUGAGUGGAGUUUUCUAUAGAUGUCAGUUAGAUCAAGUUGGUUGAUAGUGUUGUUCAGAUCUUCUAUAUCAUUACUCAUUUUUUGUCAACUUUUUCUAUCCAUUUCUGAGAGAAGCAUGUUUAAGUAUCCAAGUGUAGUUGUGGAUUUGUCUGUUUCUCCUUUCAGAUCUAUCAGUUUUUGCUUCGUAUAUUUUGACAGGUUGUUGUUACAUGUAUACACGUUUAGGAUUGUUACGUGUUCCUGGUGAGUUGACCCUUUUUAUAAUGUCAUUCUUGAACCCUGGUGAUUUUUAUUUCUCUGAGCUCUACUUUUUCUGACAUGAAUAUGGCCACUCCAACUUUGUUUUCUUCUUUUUAACUUUAAUGGUGGUAAAAUACACAUAUAACUUACCAUCUUAACCAUUUUUAAGUGUAUAUAGUUCAGUGUUAAGUACAUUCACAGUGUUCAGCCGUCACCGCCGUCCAUCCACAGAAUUCUUUUCACCUUGCAAAAUUGAGACUCUGUACCUAUUAAACAAUAACUCCCCACUUCCCCCUCCCCCCAGCCCCUGGCACCCACCAUUCUACUGUCUGUCUCUGUGAAUGUGACUCUUCUAGAUACCUUAUCUAAGUAAAAUCAUAUAGUAUUUGUCCUUUCGUGAAUAGCCUAUUUCACGUACUGUCUUUAGCGUACUAACGGUAUAUAUAUCCAAGCUGUGUAAGCUUGUAUAACAAUGAAUAAAGUCAGAUAGGGUUAAAAAAAAAAAAAAGAAUGGUGUAUAUAUGGAAACAUUCCAUUGUUGAAAAAAUUGUGUAUGUCUUUAUAUAUGUAUGUAAUAUGUUGAUUAAGUAUGAUUGUAUGUGCCUGGGAAAAACA